CAUGCAUGAAACAUUAAAUAUAGACGAAAACAAAUACUAAUUACAGAGUUUAGUUGUAAAUCACGAGACGAAUCUUUUGAUUCUAGUUAGUACAUGAUUGGAUAAUAUUUAUCACAAACAAACGAAAGUGCUACAGUACCGAAAUCUUUUCACUUUUCGGAACUAAACAAGGCCGAGAACAUGUCGCCUUCCAUCCCAUGCACGCCGCCCGCCGCCGGACCACCUUG
RNAcentral lists this long non-coding RNA (227 nucleotides) under Sorghum bicolor (sorghum). RNAcentral describes it as "long non-coding RNA (SBIC_LNC001911)". Lineage: Eukaryota; Viridiplantae; Streptophyta; Magnoliopsida; Poales; Poaceae. The record is from RNAcentral.